Oncorhynchus tshawytscha (Chinook salmon) is the source of this 2757-nucleotide long non-coding RNA. NCBI's taxonomy places the organism in Eukaryota, Metazoa, Chordata, Actinopteri, Salmoniformes, Salmonidae. The record is from Ensembl.
GGUAGGGGUUAAGGAAGGGGACUAGUUUGAGGAAGGGGACUAGUUUGUAGGAGGGUAGGGGUUAAGGAAGGGGACUAGUUUGUGGGAGGGUAGGGGUUAAGGAAGGGGACUAGUUUGUAGGAGGGUAGGGGUUAAGGAAGGGGACUAGUUUGUAGGAGGUAGGGGUUAAGGAAGGGGACUAGUUUGUAGGAGGGUAGGGGUUAAGGAAGGGGACUAGUUUGUAGGAGGGUAGGGGUUAAGGAAGGGGACUAGUUUGUAGGAGGGUAGGGGUUAAGGAAGGGGACUAGUUUGUAGGAGGGUAGGGGUUAAGGAAGGGGACUAGUUUGUAGGAGGGUAGGGGUUAAGGAAGGGGACUAGUUUGUGGGAGGGUAGGGGUUAAGGAAGGGGACUAGUUUGAGGAAGGGGACUAGUUUGAGGAAGGGGACUAGUUUGAGGAAGGGGACUAGUUUGUGGGAGGGUAGGGGUUAAGGAAGGGGACUAGUUUGAGGAAGGGGACUAGUUUGAGGAAGGGGACUAGUUUGAGGAAGGGGACUAGUUUGUAGGAGGGUAGGGUUAAGGAAGGGGAAUAGUUUGUGGGAGGGUAGGGGUUAAGGAAGGGGACUAGUGUGUAGGAGGGUAGGGGUUAAGGAAGGGGACUAGUUUGUAGGAGGGUAGGGGUUAAGGAAGGGGACUAGUUUGUGGGAGGGUAGGGGUUAAGGAAGGGGACUAGUUUGAGGAAGGGAACUAGUUUGAGGAAGGGGACUAGUUUGAGGAAGGGGACUAGUUUGUAGGAGGGUAGGGGUUAAGGAAGGGGACUAGUUUGUGGGAGGGUAGGGGUUAAGGAAGGGGACUAGUUUGUAGGAGGGUAGGGGGUUAAGGAAGGGGACUAGUUUGUGGGAGGGUAGGGGUUAAGGAAGGGGACUAGUUUGUAGGAGGGUAGGGGUUAAGGAAGGGGACUAGUGUGUAGGAGGGUAGGGGUUAAGGAAGGGGACUAGUGUGUAGUAGGGUAGGGGUUAAGGAAGGGGACUAGUCUGUGGGAGGGUAGGGGUUAAGGAAGGGGACUAGUUUGUAGGAGAGUAGGGAGUAGGGAAGGGGACUAGUUUGUAGGAGAGGAAGGGGACUAGUGUGUAGUAGGGCAGGGGUUAAGGAAGGGGACUAGUUUGUGGGAGGGUAGGGGUUAAGGAAGGGGACUAGUUUGUGGGAGGGUAGGGGUUAAGGAAGGGGACUAGUUUGUUGUAGGGUAGGGGUUAAGGAAGGGGACUAGUUUGUAGUAGGGUAUGGGUUAAGGAAGGGGACUAGUUUGUAGUAGGGUAGAGGGUUAAGGAAGGGGACUAGUUUGUUGUAGGGUAGGGUAGGGGUUAAGGAAGGGGACUAGUUUGUUGUAGGGGUUAAGGAAGGGGACUAGUUUGUAGUAGGGUAGGGGUUAAGGAAGGGGACUAGUUUGUGGGAGGGUAGGGGUUAAGGAAGGGGACUAGUUUGUUGUAGGGGUUAAGGAAGGGGACUAGUUUGUGGGAGGGUAGGGGUUAAGGAAGGGGACUAGUUUGUUGUAGGGUAGGGGGUUAAGGAAGGGGACUAGUUUGUAGUAGGGUAGGGGUUAAGGAAGGGGACUAGUUUGUGGGAGGGUAGGGGUUAAGGAAGGGGACUAGUUUGUGGGAGGUUAGGGGUUAAGGAAGGGGACUAGUUUGUGGGAGGUUAGGGGUUAAGGAAGGGGACUAGUUUGUAGUAGGGUAGGGGUUAAGGAAGGGGACUAGUCUGCAGGAGGGUAGGGGUUAAGGAAGGGGACUAGUUUGUAGGGGUUAGGGAAGUGGACUAGUGUGUAGGAGGGCAGGGGUUAAGGAAGGGGACUAGUUUGUGGGAGGUUAGGGGUUAAGGAAGGGGACUAGUUUGUGGGAGGUUAGGGGUUAAGGAAGGGGACUAGUUUGUAGUAGGGUAGGGGUUAAGGAAGGGACUAGUCUGCAGGAGGGUAGGGGUUAAGGAAGGGGACUAGUUUGUAGUAGGGUAGGGGUUAAGGAAGGGGACUAGUCUGCAGGAGGGUAGCGGUUAAGGAAGGGGACUAGUUUGUAGGGGUUAGGGAAGUGGACUAGUGUGUAGGAGGGUAUGGGACCCGGCUAGCACCUGAGUGGAAUAUAAAGACAGUACGGUCAACUCUUUACAUGUGCUCCUCUGAUCCUACUGAUGGACUUCCAGACUCAGUAUCCCAGAAGCACUACUGCUGCUCACCACGAUUGAGGAGCUGUCCUGUAGUUUAUGAAGGCAGUAGGGUAGAGUUGCACCCUUUCCCUUUGUCUAAUGUUUUUACAGGUUGAAAUGUCUCGCUUUGGCCAAACUCUGCUUCUCUCAGUCUCUGGCUAGCUAGCCAGGCUACUGUUUCUGUAUAGGACCAGGCUAGGAGAGUUAGCAUGACUACUGUCUCUGUAUAGGACCAGGCUAGGAGAGUUAGCAUGACUACUGUCUCUGUAUAGGACCAGGCUAGGAGAGUUAGCAUGACUACUGUCUCUGUAUAGGACCAGGCUAGGAGAGUUAGCAUGACUACUGUUUCUGUAUAGGACCAGGCUAGGAGAGUUAGCAUGACUACUGUUUCUGUAUAGGACCAGGCUAGGAGAGUUAGCAUGACUACUGUUUCUGUAUAGGACCAGGCUAGGAGAGUUAGCAUGACUACUGUCUCUGUAUAGGACCAGGCUAGGAGAGUUAGCAUGACUACUGUUUCUGUAUAGGACCAGGCUAGGAGAGUUAGCAUGACUACUGUUUCUGUAUAGGACCAGGCUAGGAGAGUUAGCA